RNAcentral lists this ribosomal RNA (264 nucleotides) under uncultured bacterium. RNAcentral's name for it is "partial 16S ribosomal RNA". It matches the Rfam family "Bacterial small subunit ribosomal RNA", at positions 793 to 1055 of the family's 1533-position model. The record is from RNAcentral.
GUCCACGCCGUAAACGGUGGAUGCUGGAUGUGGGGCCCGUUCCACGGGUUCCGUGUCGGAGCUAACGCGUUAAGCAUCCCGCCUGGGGGAGUACGGCCGCAAGGCUAAAACUCAAAGAAAUUGACGGGGCCCGCACAAGCGGCGGAGCAUGCGGAUUAAUUCGAUGCAACGCGAAGAACCUUACCUGGGCUUGACAUGUUCCCGACGGUCGUAGAGAUACGGCUUCCCUUCGGGGCUGGUUCACAGGUGGUGCAUGGUCGUCGU